GUAACCCCUGCAUCCAGUUGCCAUCGGGCGAGCCGGGCACUCUGGAGGGACUGCCGGCGACCAAGCCGGAGGAAGGUGGGGAGUGACGUCAAGUCAUCAUGGCCCUUAUGUCCAGGGCGACACACGUGCUACAAUGGCCGGCACAGCGGGAAGCGGAGGGGCGACCCUGAGCGGAUCCCUUGAAAGCCGGUCCCAGUUCGGAUUGCAGUCUGCAACUCGACUGCAUGAAGUUGGAAUCGCUAGUAAUCGCGGAUCAGCCAAGCCGCGGUGAAUACGUUCCCGGGCCUU
RNAcentral lists this ribosomal RNA (288 nucleotides) under uncultured Thermovirga sp. Its description in RNAcentral is "partial 16S ribosomal RNA". It matches the Rfam family "Bacterial small subunit ribosomal RNA", at positions 1098 to 1382 of the family's 1533-position model. Lineage: Bacteria; Thermotogati; Synergistota; Synergistia; Synergistales; Thermovirgaceae. The record is from RNAcentral.